Molecule: transfer RNA, 71 nt
Filed under: Loxodonta africana (African savanna elephant)
Lineage: Eukaryota; Metazoa; Chordata; Mammalia; Proboscidea; Elephantidae
Rfam family: tRNA
About the family: Transfer RNA (tRNA) molecules are approximately 80 nucleotides in length.
Source: Rfam by way of RNAcentral
GCAGUGGAGGUUCAGUGGUAGAAUUCCUGCCUUCCACGAGGGAGACUUGGGUUUGAUUCCCAGGCAAUGCG